This 356-nucleotide ribosomal RNA is filed under the name uncultured bacterium. RNAcentral's name for it is "bacterial SSU rRNA". It matches the Rfam family "Bacterial small subunit ribosomal RNA", at positions 527 to 881 of the family's 1533-position model. The record is from RNAcentral.
GUAGGGGGCAAGCGUUAUCCGGAUUUACUGGGUGUAAAGGGAGCGUAGACGGCACAGCAAGUCUGAUGUGAAAGCCCGGGGCCCAACCCCGGAACUGCAUUGGAAACUGCUGGGCUUGAGUGCAGGAGAGGUAAGCGGAAUUCCUAGUGUAGCGGUGAAAUGCGUAGAUAUUAGGAGGAACACCAGUGGCGAAGGCGGCUUACUGGACUGUAACUGACGUUGAGGCUCGAAAGCGUGGGGAGCAAACAGGAUUAGAUACCCUGGUAGUCCACGCCGUAAACGAUGAUUACUAGGUGUCGGGGGACCAAGGUUCUUCGGUGCCGCCGCAAACGCAAUAAGUAAUCCACCUGGGGAGU